RNAcentral lists this small nucleolar RNA (106 nucleotides) under Phaseolus vulgaris (common bean). RNAcentral's name for it is "Plant small nucleolar RNA R71". It matches the Rfam family "Plant small nucleolar RNA R71". Rfam says of the family: R71 is a member of the C/D box family of snoRNAs containing the C (UGAUGA) and D (CUGA) box motifs. Multiple nearly identical copies of this snoRNA have been identified in Arabidopsis, and it is thought to function as a 2'-O-ribose methylation guide for 18S ribosomal RNA. Lineage: Eukaryota; Viridiplantae; Streptophyta; Magnoliopsida; Fabales; Fabaceae. The record is from Rfam by way of RNAcentral.
AACCCAUGAUUUGGGCAUUUUCUAAGCUUCAUUUUGAAUCUCUCCCAUGUCUCACAAAAAUAUUCACAUGCUCCUUUUCUGAACAUAGAAAUUUUAGACUUUGCUU